CUACGGGUUGCUCCAGUGGGGAAUAUUGGACAAUGGGCGAAAGCCUGAUCCAGCAAUACCGCGUGAAUGAUGAAGGCCUUAGGGUUGUAAAGUUCUUUUAGUUGGAAAGAUAAUGACGGUACCAACAGAAAAAGCCCCGGCUAACUCCGUGCCAGCAGCCGCGGUAAGACGGAGGGGGCUAGCGUUGUUCGGAAUUACUGGGCGUAAAGGGCGCGUAGGCGGAUUAGUAAGUUGGGAGUGAAAGCCCGGGGCUUAACCUCGGAACUGCUUUCAAAACUGCUAGUCUUGAGUGAAGUAGGGGAUGAUGGAAUUCCUAGUGUAGAGGUGAAAUUCUUAGAUAUUAGGAGGAACACCGGUGGCGAAGGCGGUCAUCUGGACUUCAACUGACGCUGAGGCGCGAAAGCGUGGGGAGCAAACAGGAUUAGAUACCCCGGUAGUC
RNAcentral lists this ribosomal RNA (439 nucleotides) under uncultured bacterium. Its description in RNAcentral is "partial 16S ribosomal RNA". It matches the Rfam family "Bacterial small subunit ribosomal RNA", at positions 339 to 795 of the family's 1533-position model. The record is from RNAcentral.